AAGUAUAGCCAUAGAGGGUGAUAGUCCCGUAUGCGAAAAACAAACCUUAGCUAGCAGUAUCCUGAGUAGGGCGGGACACGAGAAAUCCUGUCUGAAGCUGGGUCGACCACGAUCCAACCCUAAAUACUAAUACCAGAUCGAUAGUGCACAAGUACCGUGAGGGAAAGGUGAAAAGAACUGAGGUGAUCAGAGUGAAAUAGAACCUGAAACCAUUUGCUUACAAUCAUUCAGAGCCCUAUGUAGCAAUACAGGGUGAUGGACUGCCUUUUGCAUAAUGAGCCUGCGAGUUGUGGUGUCUGGCAAGGUUAAGCAAACGCGAAGCCGUAGCGAAAGCGAGUCUGAAUAGGGCGCUUAGUCAGAUGCUGCAGACCCGAAACGAAGUGAUCUAUCCAUGAGCAAGUUGAAGCUAGUGUAAGAACUAGUGGAGGACUGAACCCAUAGGCGUUGAAAAGCCCCGGGAUGACUUGUGGAUAGGGGUGAAAGGCCAAUCAAACUUCGUGAUAGCUGGUUCUCUCCGAAAUAUAUUUAGGUAUAGCGUUGUGUCGUAAUAUAAGGGGGUAGAGCACUGAAUGGGCUAGGGCAUACACCAAUGUACCAAACCCUAUCAAACUCCGAAUACCUUAUAUGUAAUCACAGCAGUCAGGCGGCGAGUGAUAAAAUCCGUCGUCAAGAGGGAAACAACCCAGACUACCAGCUAAGGUCCCUAAAUCUUACUUAAGUGGAAAACGAUGUGAAGUUACUUAAACAACCAGGAGGUUGGCUUAGAAGCAGCCAUCCUUUAAAGAAAGCGUAAUAGCUCACUGGUCUAGUGAUUUUGCGCGGAAAAUAUAACGGGGCUAAAGUAAGUACCGAAGCUGUAGACUUGCGCACAACUUAGAUUAUUUAAGUUUAGAAUAUGAGAAACUAAGUUAUAUGUUUAGUUAUAUUUUUACUGAUUUUUAUAGAGUAAAGAUAGAAAUAAAACUUAGUAAAAUCAGUAAAAAUAUUCUUAGACUAAAGUUAAGUAGUUUAAGUUGUGUGCAAGUGGUAGGAGAGCGUUCUAUUUGCGUCGAAGGUAUACCGGUAAGGAGUGCUGGAGCGAAUAGAAGUGAGCAUGCAGGCAUGAGUAGCGAUAAUUAAUGUGAGAAUCAUUAACGCCGUAAACCCAAGGUUUCCUACGCGAUGCUCGUCAUCGUAGGGUUAGUCGGGUCCUAAGUCGAGUCCGAAAGGGGUAGACGAUGGCAAAUUGGUUAAUAUUCCAAUACCAACAUUAGUGUGCGAUGGAAGGACGCUUAGGGCUAAGGGGGCUAGCGGAUGGAAGUGCUAGUCUAAGGUCGUAGGAGGUUAUACAGGCAAAUCCGUAUAACAAUACUCCGAGAACUGAAAGGCUUUUUGAAGUCUUCGGAUGGAUAGAAGAACCCCUGAUGCCGUCGAGCCAAGAAAAGUUUCUAAGUUUAGCUAAUGUUGCCCGUACCGUAAACCGACACAGGUGGGUGGGAUGAGUAUUCUAAGGCGCGUGGAAGAACUCUCUUUAAGGAACUCUGCAAAAUAGCACCGUA
RNAcentral lists this ribosomal RNA (1538 nucleotides) under Campylobacter coli. RNAcentral describes it as "partial 23S ribosomal RNA". It matches the Rfam family "Bacterial large subunit ribosomal RNA", at positions 347 to 1732 of the family's 2925-position model. Lineage: Bacteria; Pseudomonadati; Campylobacterota; Epsilonproteobacteria; Campylobacterales; Campylobacteraceae. The record is from RNAcentral.